AUUUGACCUCAAAUCAAGUAGGACU
This 25-nucleotide ribosomal RNA is filed under the name Mycena chlorophos. RNAcentral's name for it is "partial 28S ribosomal RNA". Lineage: Eukaryota; Fungi; Basidiomycota; Agaricomycetes; Agaricales; Mycenaceae. The record is from RNAcentral.